RNAcentral lists this transfer RNA (75 nucleotides) under Micavibrio sp. RNAcentral describes it as "tRNA-Phe". It matches the Rfam family "tRNA". Rfam says of the family: Transfer RNA (tRNA) molecules are approximately 80 nucleotides in length. Their secondary structure includes four short double-helical elements and three loops (D, anti-codon, and T loops). Lineage: Bacteria; Pseudomonadati; Bdellovibrionota; Bdellovibrionia; Bdellovibrionales; Pseudobdellovibrionaceae. The record is from RNAcentral.
GCCCGGGUAGCUCAGUGGUAGAGCAGGGGAUUGAAAAUCCCCGUGUCGGUGGUUCGAUCCCGCCCCCGGGCACCA